CAAAGGGUAGUUUAAAGUUAAAAUAAUAGUUUUGGGAAUUAUUGAUAAUCUUAUUGGUUUCCUUUGA
RNAcentral lists this transfer RNA (67 nucleotides) under Calvisia medogensis. RNAcentral describes it as "tRNA-Pro". The record is from RNAcentral. Lineage: Eukaryota; Metazoa; Arthropoda; Insecta; Phasmatodea; Lonchodidae.